RNAcentral lists this ribosomal RNA (430 nucleotides) under uncultured bacterium. RNAcentral's name for it is "bacterial SSU rRNA". It matches the Rfam family "Bacterial small subunit ribosomal RNA", at positions 356 to 803 of the family's 1533-position model. The record is from RNAcentral.
UGGGAAUCUUGCACAAUGGGCGAAAGCCUGAUGCAGCAACGCCGCGUGCGGGAAGACAGCCCUAGGGUUGUAAACCGCUUUCAGCAGGGAAGAAACUGACGGUACCUGCAGAAGAAGAUGCGGCCAACUACGUGCCAGCAGCCGCGGUGACACGUAGGCAUCAAGCGUUAUCCGGAUUUAUUGGGCGUAAAGAGCUCGUAGGCGGUCCGUUGCGUCUGCCGUGAAAACCCGGAGCUCAACUCCGGGCCUGCGGUGGAUACGGGCGGACUAGAGUCCGGUAGGGGAGACUGGAAUUCCUGGUGUAGCGGUGGAAUGCGCAGAUAUCAGGAGGAACACCGGUGGCGAAGGCGGGUCUCUGGGCCGGAACUGACGCUGAGGAGCGAAAGCGUGGGGAGCGAACAGGAUUAGAUACCCUGGUAGUCCACGCCGU